AGCUUUGCGCAGUGGCAGUAUCGUAGCCAAUGAGGUUUAUCCGAGGCGCGAUUAUUGCUAAUUGAAAAUCCCGGUGGGAGAAUGGGAGAAAGUUUUGAAAAUCAUAUAUCUGA
Molecule: small nuclear RNA, 113 nt
Filed under: Canis lupus familiaris (dog)
Lineage: Eukaryota; Metazoa; Chordata; Mammalia; Carnivora; Canidae
Also listed under: 1 other name
Description: U4 spliceosomal RNA (multiple genes)
Rfam family: U4 spliceosomal RNA
About the family: U4 small nuclear RNA (U4 snRNA) is a component of the major U2-dependent spliceosome. The structure of U4 snRNA from yeast and human has been reported.
Source: Rfam by way of RNAcentral